GACGAACGCUGGCGGCGUGCCUAAUACAUGCAAGUCGAGCGCAGGAAGUCAUCCGAUCCCUUCGGGGGGACGUUGACGGACUGAGCGGCGGCCGGUUGAGAAACACGUAAAGAACCUGCCCUCAGGUCUGGGAUAACCACGAGAAAUCGGGGCUUAUACCGGAUGGGUCAUCGGACCGCAUGGUCCGAGGAUGAAAGGCGCUCCGGCGUCGCCUGGGGAUGGCUUUGCGGUGCAUUAGCUAGUUGGUAGGGUAAUGGCCCACCAAGGCGACGAUGCAUAACCGACCUGAGGGGGGGAUCGGCCCCACGGGGACUGAGACAGGGCCCAGACUCCUCGGGGAGGCAGCAGUGGGGAAUCUUCGAAAAGGGAGGAAAGUCUGAUGGAGCAACGCCGCGGGAUGGAUAAGGGCCCUCGGGUCGUAAAGUCUUGUUGUAGGGAAAGAAAAAGUGCCGCAGGAAAGGGCGGGACCUGGAGGGUACCAAGCAAGAAGGCAACGCCUAAUUCGUG
RNAcentral lists this ribosomal RNA (507 nucleotides) under uncultured bacterium. RNAcentral describes it as "partial 16S ribosomal RNA". It matches the Rfam family "Bacterial small subunit ribosomal RNA", at positions 28 to 507 of the family's 1533-position model. The record is from RNAcentral.